This is a non-coding RNA of Nicotiana tabacum (common tobacco), 2764 nucleotides long. NCBI's taxonomy places the organism in Eukaryota, Viridiplantae, Streptophyta, Magnoliopsida, Solanales, Solanaceae. The record is from RefSeq and is a predicted model, not a curated record.
AAAUAAAAUUACCCUAGUUAAAAGACUCCAACCAUUAGGGCACAAACACCCCAAUUCCUCUCCUCUCUAUCAGACUCCCACUUUCACUCUUCUUCAACAAAUACAUGAAGCUGAAAUUUGAAGUCGUGCGUUGAUUUUAGGGAUUGUAUGUCCUUGAUAAGAUAAGCUUCUUUGUGAUUUCAUUCAUGUAUUGUAGAUCUGGGCGAGAAUCAUGUUCAUCCUGUCUUGUGCUUUAUUUUGGUAUUUUAUUUUCAAAGUUUCUCCAUCUUUAUUCCAGAUUUUCUCUACUCUUUGUUAAUGUUUUUCCCCCUCGGAAAAAUUCUGCAGAAAUAGCCAUGUAUGCAUGUGAUUUUCUUGGUAAUUACCAGCUUUAUACUUGUUAUAAUGUUAAAACCCCACACAUUGGUUCCUUUAAAAAGAGUUCUUUUUCUCAAUCUUGGUCAAACAGGCCAAAUGGUUCAUCUUAUUUUCACAAGUAUUCUCAAUUUGGAAGAAGCAAUUUUGUUAUAGUGAAGGCUUCAGAUUCAUUCAAGAACUACCAGAAAACAAGUAGAGAAGGCUUUCUACUGGGAUUCUUCAAUUGAUAGUGCGGUGCGGAUCCAAUGGGAGGCGUAGGGCAGCAAAAAGAUAUAGUGAUUCUGUUAGCAAACUAAAAUCAAAUGGGGUGCAACCGGACACUAUUCCAAAUAAUAUGUGGGAAAGUUGGUUGAGACUUUGGAAAGAUCCUAAGUGUAUUAAAAAGUUAGAAAUAAAUGCAAAAAAUCGUUGUGGUGGGAGCGGAGUUGCCACUGGACUCACACAGGUGGCUCUGUCAGUGUUGGAGAGCAUCGGAAGAGACUUGUAGGUGGAUAUAAAAUAUGCUCUAUCCUCUACUAGUAAUGCUUCAGUGUGAUUUCAUUUAAAUAAAUGGAAGGCCAAGGUACUUAGAGAAUACUUAAAAGAUUAAUAUUCAGCCUAAGUUUGUGAAUUUUGGAAGAUUAAUAUUCACCUGUUUAGAGUUGUCCUACACAGCUGCCUUAGAAUGUAAUAUCUGUGUCAUUUUCUCUUGUUUCUCCCCUAAAUAUUCAAGUUGUUUCUGCUUUGCAUACUUCUUAGCAUGGUGGAAUUAUGUAGAUUUAGGCUGGACAGAUUUGUACUAUGGAAUUAAAAUGGUUAGAUCUGAAAAAGGUCAUAACUUUGAAUAACAAAUAUGCUUAUGGUUUGUUUUUGGAAUAUAUAUUGUUCCUCAUAAAACAUCUGUUGCAUAAUUCAUUCAUUUACUUGGAAAUUUUUCUGCUCUUGAGUAUUCUACAGAUAGAUAUGAAACUUGAAAGCUGAGAUUUCCUUUCAGCAUUGAUGGACUCUAACUUGUUAUGUGUGUUGUAUAACCUAUUGUGCUGCCGUUUGAGUUAUGGAAAGCAACUAAUGCUUGCGAUCCAAUUGUGCCUUGCUCGGUAGGGUUGAUAGCCCAUGCUACCCAUCCCUUAAAAUCUUGUUUAUCUCUAUAUGCAAUUGAAAUUUUGUCCUUCCCAAAUUUGAUUGUCUUCACCUAUCCUCUUUGGCCCUCUUCAAAAUAGGGGACAAGCUCCAAACUUGGCUUUGGAAUUAAUACCAAUGUCUUCUUUUUUCCUCUCUUUAUUUAGGGAUUUUCUUGUGAAGAAACAGUUAGAAUGGAACAUUGUCAUUAUGGGAUUUGAUCGAUACUUAUGUUGUGAUAUGGAAAAUUGUUCGAAUUGGUAAUGUUUAUCAGCGAAUAUAAUAAAGUACUAUGUGACAACUUUGACUUACUAAGAUUUAUUUCCUUUCUUUCUUUUGUAUAUCACAUUUAGUCUCAUCACUGAAUCUUUAUUGCUAUUAUAGGUUGUGGUUUCUCUUUUCAUCUUCUAAUAUUAACUUGUUUAUCAAAAUGAAAUAAAUGUUUCAUGGCUCAAGUGGUCAAAAUUUUGGUGGGUGAAGUUCGUACUUCAUCCAUAAUGGGAGAUAGUCCUAAUUAAGCAUGUUUACUUUGGAAGAAAGUACUAGAACUAUUUAAAAGCAUCUUUCUUUUCUAUUUGUGGCAUAGGAGCUUCUUUUACCACUUCAAGUGUCUUACUUUAGUAAUCUAUUUUUUUUUCUUUUCUUUUGUGCGUCAAUUGUAGUUCCAGUGCAAGUAGGCUUCUAAAUAUGGAAGUUCUUUGCAAGAAUUGAAAGUUUUAGCUCUGUAGAAUACUACUCUAACUAGUCACAAUCCGAUACUAAAGUUACAGACCACAAGCUCUGUGAAAGUUCUUUGCAAUUGCAUAUUUACUGCGUUCAUUGCAGUAGUCUUCAUCUAACUACUAAAUCAGAUUACUACUCUAACUAGUCACAAUCUGAUUCUAAUGAAUCAGAAUCUAGUGAGUUGCAUUUGCACGUCCAUACACAUGGUAAUGGUGGAAAAUCUUUUGUUGCUGAGAAAUCUCGAAUCGUACAUGAAAAAUAUCAGGAGAUAUUACAACAACAACAAACACAAACUCAAUCUGAUAUUGAUCAGUGUAAAGCAUAUUAUCAAGCCGUAGGAGGAGAAAAGAAAAGAAGAGUAUAUGGUCUUGGAUCUCAAGCAAAAUGCUACUACGGGCCAAAUCUUCAUGAUUCUUUUGGAUCGGAUGCUACAUCGUCAGGAACACCUCCAAAUUCUCAUCAACACCGACAGGGAAUAUGGAUGAGUUAGUGAUGCGAUUGAUUCCUUCACUGACAGAUCAUUGUCACGACCCCAACCCCGGUCAUGAUGGCGCCCAACACACUGCAAGGCAAGCCCGACCAUUCA